Molecule: ribosomal RNA, 108 nt
Filed under: uncultured bacterium
Lineage: Bacteria
Description: partial 16S ribosomal RNA
Rfam family: Bacterial small subunit ribosomal RNA
Source: RNAcentral
AAGAAGGCCUUCGGGUUGUAAAGCUCUUUUGUUCGGGACGAAACGGUUUCAUUUAAUACGUGAGACUACUGACGGUACCGGAAGAAUAAGCACCGGCUAACUACGUGC